This is a non-coding RNA of Castor canadensis (American beaver), 3687 nucleotides long. The record is from RefSeq and is a predicted model, not a curated record. NCBI's taxonomy places the organism in Eukaryota, Metazoa, Chordata, Mammalia, Rodentia, Castoridae.
GCCGCCCGGCCUUCGUGCUUUCUCCGCCUCCUAGCCCGCGCGGAGGGACGGGCCAGCACUCCGCCCGCCCGCGUAGAGUGAGCGGCGCCGGCCGCCUCGCCAGCCCGCGGUUUCCCGGUCGCUUUCCGGGCGCGCGCAGCGAGCGAGCGCUACUAUGCCAAGAUGGUCCUGCAGGCGCGGAACAAGCACCGGGAGGCGGCUCCCAAGCCGCCCCAGCCGCCACGCGCCUCGCAGUCGCCGCUGAGGGGGGCGCCGGACGUCGGCGCCGGGGAGCCGGGGCCAGAGCGCGCGUCCCAGUCCCCUGGGCGCAAGGGCGCCGCGGGCAGGAAGGGGCCCCGCGCUGAGCCCGCCGCCUCGCCCGCCGGGCGCAGCCUGGCGGGGCGCCUGGCGACCGGGCUGCGUGGGGCGCUGGGCCUGCGGCGCGCGGGGCGCGGCCGGACCUGGAGCACGCUCCUCCUAGCUGCCUUUGCAGCCAUCUUGCACUGGUGCCACAUAACACACCUCUUUGAAAAUGAUCGCCAUUUUUCUCACCUGUCAACAUUGGAAAGGGAGAUGGCUUUUCGCACUGAAAUGGGACUAUAUUAUUCUUACUUCAAGACUAUUGUGGAAGCACCCUCAUUUUUUAAUGGAGUGUGGAUGAUCAUGAAUGAUAAGUUGACUGAAUACCCCCUUGUUAUUAAUACAUUGAAAAGGUUCAAUCUUUACCCUGAGGUGGUCUUGGCCAGUUGGUACCGAAUUUAUACUAAAAUAAUGGACUUGAUUGGUAUUCAAACCAAGAUAUGUUGGACAGUUACCAGAGGAGAAGGACUCAGUCCUAUUGAAAGCUGUGAAGGAUUGGGAGAUCCUGCUUGCUUUUAUGUUGCUGUAAUUUUUAUUUUAAAUGGACUAAUGAUGGCAUUAUUCUUCAUAUAUGGCACAUAUUUAAGUGGCAGCCGACUAGGAGGCCUGGUUACAGUCUUAUGCUUCUUUUUCAAUCAUGGAGAGUGUACCCGUGUGAUGUGGACACCACCUCUCCGUGAAAGCUUCUCAUAUCCAUUUCUUGUGCUUCAGAUGUUGCUUGUGACUCAUAUUCUCAGGGCUACAAAGCUUUAUAGAGGGAGCUUGAUUGCACUUUGCAUUUCCAAUGUAUUUUUCAUGCUGCCUUGGCAGUUUGCUCAGUUUGUACUUCUCACUCAGAUUGCAUCAUUAUUUGCAGUAUAUGUUGUGGGCUACAUUGAUAUAUACAAAUUACGGAAGAUUAUUUACAUACACAUGAUUUCUCUUGCACUUUGUUUUGUUUUGAUGUUUGGGAACUCGAUGUUAUUAACAUCUUACUAUGCUUCCUCCUUGGUAAUUAUUUGGGGUGUGCUGGCAAUGAAACCACAUUUUCUGAAAAUGAAUGUGUCUGAACUUAGUUUAUGGGUUAUCCAAGGAUGUUUUUGGUUAUUUGGGACCAUUAUACUCAAGUAUUUGACAUCUAGAAUCUUUGGCAUUGCAGAUGAUGCUCAUAUUGGCAACUUAUUAACAUCAAAAUUCUUCAGUUACAAGGAUUUUGAUACUUUAUUGUACACCUGUGCAGCAGAGUUUGACUUUAUGGAAAAAGAGACCCCACUGAGAUACACAAGGACACUGCUGCUUCCUGCUGUUCUUGUGGUAUUUAUUGCAAUUGUUAAAAAGAUUAUUAGUGAUAUGUGGGGUGUCAUAACUAAACCACAGACACAUAUACGAAAACACCAGUUUGAUCAUGGAGAGCUGGUUUAUCAUGCAUUGCAACUGUUAGCAUAUACAGCCCUUGGCAUUUUGAUUAUGAGACUGAAACUCUUCUUGACACCGCACAUGUGUGUUAUGGCUUCCUUGAUCUGCUCAAGACAGCUAUUUGGAUGGCUGUUUUGUAAAGUACAUCCUGGUGCUGUUGUUUUUGCUGUAUUAGCAGCAAUGUCAAUUCAAGGUUCAGCAAAUCUACAAACCCAGUGGAAUAUUGUAGGGGAGUUCAGUAAUUUGCCCCAAGAAGAACUUAUAGAAUGGAUCAAAUAUAGUACUAAACCAGAUGCAGUGUUUGCAGGUGCCAUGCCCACCAUGGCAAGCGUGAAGCUGUCUGCGCUUCGGCCUGUGGUGAACCAUCCACAUUACGAAGAUGCAGGCUUGAGAGCUAGAACAAAAAUAGUAUACUCAAUGUACAGUCGAAAAGCAGCUGAAGAAGUGAAGCGAGAAUUGAUAAAGUUAAAAGUGAAUUAUUACAUUCUAGAGGAAUCAUGGUGUAUAAGAAGAUCCAAGCCUGGUUGCAGUAUGCCUGAAAUUUGGGAUGUGGAAGAUCCUGCCAAUGCUGGGAAAACUCCCUUAUGUAACCUCUUGGUGAAGGAUUCCAAGCCUCACUUUACCACUGUAUUCCAGAACAGUGUUUACAAAGUCCUAGAAGUCAUAAAAGAAUGACUGCUAUAUGAACUGCUGCCUACAGAGAACCACACCAGUAAUGGUUUUAAUGUUUUGCUAAUAAUUUGCAUUUUAUUUUUAAUUCACACGCCCCCAAAUUUUUAUAGGCAGAUUAACCUCAUUGUGGAUUGUCCUUGAGACCUGAGUCCUCAGGGAUGGUUUCCGGUGCCCACUCCUGGGAGCCACAGAAGAGCUACUCUCUUUCUGCCUUCUUACCAGAGCCCAAGGACAAGCCUGCUCUGUUUGUAUUGGUCAGCUGCAAACAGCAUGUGCAACUGAGGAGUGUGGCUUUGGUGGGGAGCACCAUCCCUAUCCCUAACCCUCCCUAGAGCCAGAACCUGUACCUCCUCCAGGGAGUCCCUUCCCUGCUGUUGGCCCCAGGGGAUUGCUUCUGCUAGUGUUGUACAGAUUUCUGGUCACUCUGUCUCAUUUGCUGCUUGACUGUUUUUUUUCUUAGGCUUUACUGGGUUCUGAAUAUAGAGAUGCAGAUGGGGAUUUAUGAAUUAGGAAUAGCCUUUGAGCAAAGAUGCAGCAAUCUGGAAAAAUGGGAAGAAGACACCUUGAGGCUGAGGAGAAUGAGAGUCAUCGCCAUGGGAAGAGGGGAGGGGUGCUCUGUGUUAGCUGCAAUUGUCCCUCCAGCAGUUGUCAUUACUUCCAUUCUAGUUUUAAAGUUACUCUCUUCUCUCUUCUCCCCUCCAACAAUCACAGUUCACAUGUGAUGACUGGAAAUUCUGUACAGAAAAAAACUUUAAAUACUGUUGUAAUGCUGGGAAACAUUAUUCUAAAUUAGUUUUUUUCCAGAAGAAUUCUUUUGUAACAGUAUUUCUUAAUGUAACUCCACCAGCAAACUCUGUUUGUACUUCAGGCAAGUCAGUUGAGAACAGAAGGCUUGGGGGUCCUCUGCUCAUUCAGCCUUGAGCACUUACAGAAGCAGCCAGCACUGUGCGGUAUAAAUACUUUCAUGGUAAAGAAGUAGUAGAUUCUGCAUACAUGACAAAGCAGUGUUAGAGCUCAGUAUUUUACAUAUUUUUAGCACUUAAAAAUAUUUUUGCUUUACUGUGGGGAACAUAAGGAUGGGCAAAGCAGUGAUUGAAAUAGCUAUUGCUAUGACAUUUUAAAUAACAAGGUUGGGGCAGUAUUUCCACAAAAAAGAUAAGCCUGUAAAAAUGCUUGGCAGGAAAAGUGUACUGUUAAAAUAGGCCAAUGACAUUAAGUAGAAAAGGAAAGACCACAUCAGGAAUAAAGUGAUAUUACAUAGGAGUAUUGUAUUUUUAUGAA